GUCCACGCCGUAACGAUGGAUACUAAGUGUUGGUGAAAUCAGUGCUGUAGUUAACGCAAUAAGUAUCCCGCCUGGGAGUAUGCGCGCAAGCGUCAAACUCAAAGGAAUUGACGGGCCCGCACAAGCGGUGGAGUAUGUGGUUUAAUUCGAAGCAACGCGAAGAACCUUUACCAGGUCUUGACAUAUCAUUAAAAGCAUGGAGACAUGUAAUAGUUAUAGUGAUACAGGUGGUGCAUGGUUGUCGU
Molecule: ribosomal RNA, 245 nt
Filed under: uncultured bacterium
Lineage: Bacteria
Description: partial 16S ribosomal RNA
Rfam family: Bacterial small subunit ribosomal RNA
Source: RNAcentral